Molecule: transfer RNA, 73 nt
Filed under: Stereum hirsutum FP-91666 SS1
Lineage: Eukaryota; Fungi; Basidiomycota; Agaricomycetes; Russulales; Stereaceae
Description: tRNA-Asn (ATT) (tRNA-Asn-ATT-2-1)
Rfam family: tRNA
About the family: Transfer RNA (tRNA) molecules are approximately 80 nucleotides in length. Their secondary structure includes four short double-helical elements and three loops (D, anti-codon, and T loops). Further hydrogen bonds mediate the characteristic L-shaped molecular structure. tRNAs have two regions of fundamental functional importance: the anti-codon, which is responsible for specific mRNA codon recognition, and the 3' end, to which the tRNAs corresponding amino acid is attached (by aminoacyl-tRNA synthetases). tRNAs cope with the degeneracy of the genetic code in two manners: having more than one tRNA (with a specific anti-codon) for a particular amino acid; and 'wobble' base-pairing, i.e. permitting non-standard base-pairing at the 3rd anti-codon position.
Source: RNAcentral
CUUCCGAUAGCUCAACGGUAGAGCAGUGCAUCAUUAAUGCACAAAGAUGCUGGUUCGACUCCAGCUCGGAGGG